GUCCUCUUAGUUGUAUAUGAGGUCAGGCCUGCCCAGUGAAUUUUAUUUUAACGACCGCAGUAUUUUGACCGUGCAAAGGUAGCAUAAUCAUUAGUCUUUUAAUAGGAGGCUGGAAUGAAGGGUUUGACGAGGUGUUAACUGUCUCAUUUAAUUUGAAAUUAAAAUUUAAGUUUUCAAUUAAAAGGCUGAAAUUAUAUUGGAAGACAAGAAGACCCUAUAGAACUUUAUAGUUGUAAUUAUAAUUAAUUGUUUUUUAUAGUCAUAUGCCUAUUUUGUUGGGGUGACAAAAAUAUAAAAGUAACUUUUUUAUUUAGUGAUCAUUGAUUUAUGAACUUUAGAUCCAAUUUUAUUAAUUAUUAGAAUAAUUUACCUUAGGGAUAACAGCGUAAUAUUCCUUCAGAGUUCAUAUUUACAGGAAGGAUUGCAACCUCGAUGUUGGAUUAAGAUAAUAGUUAGGUGUAGCCGCUUAAUUUAUAGGUCUGUUCAACCUUUAAACUCUU
This 500-nucleotide ribosomal RNA is filed under the name Davidius moiwanus. RNAcentral describes it as "partial 16S rRNA". It matches the Rfam family "Bacterial large subunit ribosomal RNA", at positions 1831 to 2597 of the family's 2925-position model. Lineage: Eukaryota; Metazoa; Arthropoda; Insecta; Odonata; Gomphidae. The record is from RNAcentral.